GUGACGUUGAAGUGGACACAGGGUGAUGAGAGGGGUGCAGAAAAGGAGAUACCCUGGCAUGCCAAGCCUGGGGCUGGUUGUCCACAUCCAGGAAGGUCCCUGCAAGGUUGUGGCACCUUUUCAUGGCAAGCAGACGCAGCACCAUGAAUACCCACAGCCACUCCUAAGGGCCCCUUCAUGCGGUGGCUGUGCCCAGCACUGGGCACGCAGGAACCAAGGCCCAGAGAGUUCUGGGUGGGUGGGGAGAGCUAGAGCCUUCCUUCUGGGCUCCAGGGCUUUUCAGUAGCACCACUGGCUUUCUAGAAGGUUGCUGUGUGAUUGGAAACUUGUGCUUUGAGAUACGAUUAUCUGUGUGGGGAGGAGGUUGUACUGGAGUCAGCAGUGAGGGGUGGCAGCACUAGGCCAGAAAUGGAUGUGGGGUCCUCUUGCGUGGAGCUGCCACUCCCCCAGCCACUCUGUCCUUACAACCAAAACCCCAAAAGGGGGCUGAGCCGGCCCUUGUGAGUGAGAGUAGAGGAGAAGGAAGGGGCUGUGGGGGGAGAGAAGCACAUGGAGCUGGCCCACGUGGAGAGAGGGACCCUGGGUGGCAGGGUGGCGUUGGGGGAGAUUUGCCAUCAGAGUGACCUUAGUGACUGUGCCACCUCGACCCUGACCUGGGCAAUGCCUGUGAGGGCACUGGGGCCCAAGGUCCCAGAGGAGCAGGGGAACUAAGAUGUGGCUCUCACAGAACCUCAAAUGUAUCUCCAGACAUCCACAUAUCUGCACCUGACACACAUUUCUGGAACAGCUACUUGGCCAAGCACCACCAGUUUGUCUCUAUGCCCCUCUUGCUGGGGAGCCCAGUCUGGGGCAAAGGAAGGCACAGGGGCAUCCGCUCCAGGCUUUCCAGAAUAGGCAGAACACAGAAGGGGUGCCCGCCGGACACGCGGAGGGAGGAGAUGAGAAGAGUCCCCAGCGCCAGAAGGGGUGGAGACGGCCUUGCUGGGGCAGGGCCACAGGUCACCUGCUGCUGGGCUCUGGCUGCAGUGGGAAACAACCAAAGUUUUAAAAAGAGGGUGAACCUCUUAGGAAAGGAAAUGACAUUUAUAAAGAGGUAGGGACGUGGGGGCAGGGAUGAUGGCCUUGGUGGCCACAGCUCUUAAACCAGUGGGGAGGAGGCAGCCACGCCAGCAUGGUGAGAUCCAAGCCGCAGUGACGGGGCUGCACUCGCUCCAGGUAGAUUGCUCAAAUGGAAGCUUCUGGAUGGAUAACUAAGGCAGCACAACCCCCAGUCAUUGUCUGAGGGCCACCCUGGGGGAUGGAGCGAGUGCAGGCCAAGUGGAUGCAGGGCCCACGGCCAGUUUCCAGGGUGAGCUGCAGGGCAAGCCGUGGGAAGCCCCAGAGGCAGACGCUGAGGGAUGGGCACCCCAAGAGAGUCCAGGGAUCCGAGGCCACCUGGGUGGAGCCCGGACAGCGUCUACUCCAGGGAGCAAAGCUGAGGCAGGAGCCGAGGGCUUUCCAGUGGAUGUGGAGACUUCGGCUUACUCCCGCACUGACUUUAUCCCAUUUCUGAGCCUGUCGGCACGUGUAGAGCAUUUUGGGCUCAGUUUCUCUAGAGACUAACUGUGGCCUCCCAUGGGGUGGGGACAGGACAGUCUCCCGGCUGCAUGGAAUGGGAUGCCGACCGAGGGACGGGCUCUCUCUUAAAGACUUGCCACCACACCUCUCUUGUCCAUGCCAGGCUUCUGGGGUCCCCUCUGCUGCAGGUGCUUCGGGAGUCUCAGUGGUUCUUCAGGGCAAAGCUGGCCCUGACCGUGUGCUGCAUGCCCGGAGGUCUGACAUCGGUGCUGCUGAGUGGCCUGCCGUGGUUCUCUUGGUUUCCCAUCUUGCAAAGAGUCGGUGAACUCUCACCUGCUCUUGUCUCCUCGUCUCUGUGCCCUGUCCUCCUGCGGGGCUUGGGAAACCAUAGGUGAUAAACACAUGAGCCAAUCUGCCAUCUCCACUGGAGCCAAUGCUCUUUCUGUGUUCCCAUUGGCCUGCCUAGGACUGAGGUCAGCUCCAGGGUCAGAGGCAGGACUGGAGUUGGGUUCUAACUGAGGCAGAGACAGGGCUUGGGAGAAGAAAUCAAGGUGGAGGGCAGAGGCUCCAGGUCUUUGCCAGGCUCACCUCAGAAGUGGGUGUGUCAGGCUGUCCAGAGUGGAGUGCACAGAAGCUGGGGCUUUGACAAGGGCAGGGUGACCAGUCCAGGCUGGCCUCAAAGGCAAGAGCUUGACUGCAGGGCCAGCAGGCGUGUGAUGUGGGUGGGCCCUAAGGAGGCUGAGGGAGAGGAUAAACUGUGAAGAGCCAGCAGCCCAGAAGCUAAAUGCAGGGAGGCAGAGAAGACAGGAGAGAUGGAGGCUUGCAGGACCUGGUGGUUGGGGAGGGCCAGUGACCAGGUGUUUAGAAGCAGCACCUCCUGUGAUUGGGGCUGAGGGUGAACUCUGCUUUCAAGCAGAGGUGGUUUGUCGUGGGUCUUCCAUGAUGACACCAGGUCAAGGUUUACCCAACAGAGCCUCCAGAUGCUCAGAGUCUUGCAGGCUCAGAACAAGAAUUGUCAACUUGCCAAGAUGAAUCUGUCUCUCGGGGGAGGACCCACACAGAACAAACGUUUGAAGCAGAAGUUUGCUUGGUAAACAUGGAAUCGGAACAUGGGAAUUGGGCCACUGGGAUAUUCAAUUGCGUCAGACCAUUGUAGCUGAUACUCCUGGACAGAGGGGCUUUGCCAACUGGACAGAUAUAUGAAGUGUUGCUGACCGAGCUCCUUGCUCUGUGUGGGAGGGAUCUUGCCAGCUCCAGCCUUGGUGGGUCUCCUUUUUCUGUUUCCAAGCUUAAAUAAGCACUUGGCUGUUCUGAUUAGCACUUUUAAAAGCUGUGUUAAUAAGUUCAAUUAAAAUAGAAGAAUCUCUCAUUCUGUCAUAUCGGGUUUUUUUAAUUGCAAACCAAUAAAACUUAAAUGAACUUGAGCAAAA
RNAcentral lists this long non-coding RNA (2987 nucleotides) under Homo sapiens (human). RNAcentral's name for it is "HSALNT0027163". Lineage: Eukaryota; Metazoa; Chordata; Mammalia; Primates; Hominidae. The record is from RNAcentral.